Molecule: long non-coding RNA, 1613 nt
Organism: Rhincodon typus (whale shark)
Lineage: Eukaryota; Metazoa; Chordata; Chondrichthyes; Orectolobiformes; Rhincodontidae
Exons: 3
Source: RefSeq, a predicted model, not a curated record
AUCUGUUAUUUUUAGGUACUCUACUGGGAGCAGAAGACAGAGGACUUUGCUGACACAGAGCAGUUCAGUUGUUCUGUUUUGACUUCGGGUGGCAUUGUUUUGACAGUCCCAAACUAGAAACUCCACCGAGUCUGAAUAAUUUCUUUUUCUCAGUUUCAGACUUAUCGCUUCUCACUGUGAGCCAGUGACAGCCCACUUUAAUGACAAGAAGUCAUUCAAAGGUCUGUCGGAGAUUGAAAAUGGAUCUCUCCCCAGAAAUAUUCUUUGUGCCAGGAAAAUAACAAUCAAACAUCUCUUCUUCAAGAGUUUUGAACGCCUGGAACACACACUUCCUUCCGAGCCGGUGAGGUUGAUGGAGGAUGAAUGAUGGAGGAUACGUGGAAAGACCAUUUAAAAAUCUCAAUUUAACAUUUAACCUGAAAGACCAGGCAGGAUUGGGCAUGGUGAAAUCUGUCUUGAAUCACGGAAUGGUGACUGAAUCCUAAAAUCAACAACUCAACAAUCAAUGCUCCACUCUUCAUGAACCAGCCAGAGAUACUGAUCCAUGUAACUUUUAACUUUUAUCUUUUUUUUGGACUCAUCUCCUAUUCCUAAUUUGUGCGUUUGCUGCAUUUUUUUUUUCUUUUCUUACUUAGUAACUUAUAAACUCACUCAUUUGUUAACUCAAGAAAGCCUGGCUAAAUUGACUCCUUUUAAAACAUAAAAGCAUUUGAUCUGGAAGAAAGGCAUUCACAGGGAAUAGAUCCUUGCUGGAAAAACUCAGCAGAUCUGGCAGUAUUUAUGGACAGAGAAGCAGAGUUAAUGUUUCAAGUUCAAAAACUGCUCAUUGGAAGAAUUCCAUAGAAGAGACUUUGUCCCGUGUAGUGAUUGGAUUGAGGUUGGCCAGGCGGAUCUUGAGUAUGAGUUCCCUGAUUGGGCCUGUAACCUCGACCAAUGAGGGAGUCCUGGCUGACAGAUAUAAAAAGGAGUAUCAGAGAUUCUCUUCACUCUAGGGCCUAGCUCUCAACUACCUAGUCAGUCCAUGUACUGUGCGUGUGUAAAUAAAGGGUGACUUGGUGACAGGAUACCACCCUCCAUGGAGUUAUUUCAGCCACAAAACAUUAACCGUUUCUAUCUCCACAGGUGCUGCCAGGCCUACCAAGUCUGUGGGGUUUUUUUAAAUUCCAGAUUUCCACCAUCUAUGGUAUAUUACUUUUUAAAAUAACCUUGCUGUGACCACUCUUUGAGGGGUGACAGCUGAAUAAAGAAGGGGAGUUAGUUCAUCCCCCCUCACAGGAGAGCUUUAAUAUUUGGCGUAUCAGUCUGGAAUCUGAAUAAUUUGGGGAACCUGGCUCAGGUCUGUUCAUAACAGAGUCUGAUUAACAACCUUGUGAUAGUGGGCAGGAUUCCUGAGUUGGGCACGUCUGGUUCCCAGUUUAACUGGGGACACUUUUUCCCUCACAGCAGGAAUCCAAAGAAGGCUCUUCCACUUGAUUCUCCCACACACCCUCACUUUCUAUUAUACCCACUACAGUGGGUUCAAUUAAAUUUCGCCCGUCUAUUCUGGUUCUCCACUGUUCUUGUUAAGUAUUUCAAACAAAGAACAAAGAACAAUACAGCACAGGAACAUGCCC